UAUAGAGGUCUCAAGCGUUGUUCGGAUUCAUUGGGCGUAAAGGGUGCGUAGGUGGCGCGGUAAGUCGGGUGUGAAAUCUCGGAGCUUAACUCCGAAAUUGCAUUCGAUACUGCCGUGCUCGAGGACUGGAGAGGAGACUGGAAUUCAUGGUGUAGCAGUGAAAUGCGUAGAGAUCAUGAGGAAGACCAGUGGCGAAGGCGGGUCUCUGGACAGUUCCUGACACUGAGGCACGAAGGCCAGGGGAGCAAACGGG
RNAcentral lists this ribosomal RNA (253 nucleotides) under uncultured bacterium. RNAcentral's name for it is "partial 16S ribosomal RNA". It matches the Rfam family "Bacterial small subunit ribosomal RNA", at positions 524 to 776 of the family's 1533-position model. The record is from RNAcentral.